Molecule: ribosomal RNA, 375 nt
Filed under: Triticum aestivum (bread wheat)
Lineage: Eukaryota; Viridiplantae; Streptophyta; Magnoliopsida; Poales; Poaceae
Description: partial small subunit ribosomal RNA
Source: RNAcentral
AUGCUGACUGGGCAGGAUGCAGUGAUGACAGAAGAUCAACUAGAGGCUUUGCAGUAUUUUUUGGGUCUAACCUUAUUUCUUGAAGUGCCAGAAAGCAAGCCACCGUGUCACGGUCAAGCACAGAAGCUGAAUAUAAGUCCUUGUCAAAUGCAACUGCAGAAAUCAUUUGGGUUGAAUCACUUCUUGAGGAAUUGGGAAUCAAGAAGAAUCGUAUCUCAUGUUUAUGGUGUGAUAACUUGGGAGCAACAUAUUUGUCCGCAAAUCCUGUGUUUCAUGCAAGGACAAAGCACAUCGAAAUUGAUUUUCACUUUGUGCGAGAAAGGGUUGCAGCCAAGAAACUCGAGAUACGGUUUAUUCCCUCCAAGGAUCAAGUAG